AGGAAGUGCGAGCGCUGAUAACACACACAACAGCUACAACCCCAUCCCACCCCACUCGCCGUCUGGAGACACGACUGCUUCCCACAGGUUCUGCCAUUUUUUGCUUAUUCAUUUCUGUGCCAGGCGGCAUUGUGCGAUUCAAAAUGAAGACGUCAGAUAUUAAAGACACCUCUCAGUCACCCGGGGUCUCGGAGGUAUUGCUCCCUUUCAUUCCGUGCUCAUCCAGCAUUCGGCAGACGGUGUCCUCUGCGCUGGCAUGAGAAGAUUCUCAAAUAGGCUGCUAACACACACACACAAUCAAUCCGUCUAGUAUUUUUACAGAAGGGAAAAAAUAGCAGCAUACGAGUUUGGAACGACAUGAGGAAAUAAAAAAUACAGUAUUAUAUAUGAGUAUAUUCUGGAUCCAAAGUGAGGCAAGGGCUCAUCCAAAGUCGAGAGGCCCUCACGUGUUCAAUGGAGCCAUGGAGGAUGGAGGUGAGGUGAAGAUAAGUGGCCCGUUCGAGAGCAUCUACUUUCAUGCACUUGAGUUUGUGCUCUCAAUCGGUAAAGACUUCGAUCAAUAGCACUGCGGAAGCAGAGAGGGGGAGAACACAGCCGGAAUCAGCAGAAUGAGGGAAAACUCGCCCGGAUAAAAGCAAAAAAAAAAAAAAAAAAACUGUAAUGUGAGUGAUGACCGCGGUCAGCGAUCUGAGAUGAGGAACCUCAGGGAAACCCUUGCUCUCACAGAAGACACAAAUAAAUUCACACACACAGGCGUAGAUUUCAAACAUUUGUGCAUAAAGGUCAUGUGUGUAAUGUUUCUGUUUUAUGUUAAAAUGCUUCUAUCCCACCUUAAUAUGCAGGGACAACAAUGUCAGUAAUUUCCCCUGAAAAGUGUAAAAAUUAUUCAAACAUUAUUUUAACUUUACCAUUGUUAAACCGUUUCUUUAUCAGAAAACAUCCUCACAACAAGAUUUUUUUAUUGUGGUUGAUAAUGACUUGUUUUCAGAGAAUAUAUCCUGAACAGAUAGGAUUUUAAUCAUAAACUUCACUUAGAUUUAUGCCUAAAAAUAUAUUAUGUGGAAACAAGUACUAAUAUGUGACACAAUUGAGCUUUUUCAAUAAAUGCAUCUCGUUUUGAAGACAUUUAUAUAUUUUUACCGAGCAAAAAAAUGAUGCCAAUACUGAUUAGAAAAUGAUUUUUUUUUACUGUGUAAUUGGCUCAACUAGUGGAGUGAGUUUGGGGUGGUACUAUAUGUUUGUCUAAACCAAUGAAACCUGUUUGAAAAAGCAGAAAUAACAUUUUAUUUAUUUAUUUAUUUAUUUUAUUAAAAACUUUUCUCCCGAUUUGGAAUGUCCGAUUCCCACUACUUACUAGGUCUUCAUGGUGGCGCGGUUACUCACCUCAAUCCGGGUGGUGGAGGACAAGUCUCAGUUGCCUCCGAUUCUGAGACCGUCAAUCCGCGCAUCUUAUCACGUGACACGUUGUGCAUGACACCGCGGAGACUUACAGCAUGCGGAGGCUCAUGCUACUCUCCGCGAUCCACGCACAUCUUACCACACGCCCCAUUGAGAGCGAGAACCACUAAUCGCGACCACGAGGAGGAUACCCCAUGUGACUCUACCCUCCCUAGCAACCGGGCCAAUUUGGUUGCUUAGGAGACCUGGCUGGAGUCACUCAGCACUCCCUGGAUUGGAACUCGUGACUCCAGGGGUGGUAGUCAGCGUCAGUACUCGCUGAGCUACCCAGGCCCCCCAGAAAUAACAUUUUAAAAACAAAUUAUAAAUAGCUAUUAGGUUAUUUAAUAGAAAAACAUUUAGGUGUCAUUAUAAAAAGCAGAGAUGAACACAUAAAGGACCUACAACCUUGUGCUAUUUUCAUUCCAACCUUUCAGUGUGGAGUAGCAAAAAUUCCAAGCCUUUUUCAAAGGAAUUACACAAUUUAAAAAGCUGUUAUUAGCUAAACUCCCACUAGCUCUGAACUCGAAUGGGUUUAAAUGGGUGUGUCGACCAAACACAACUGGUCAGGUCUAGUCAGUUGCAAUAUCGUGCUGAAGAUGAUCAGGUUUUUAAACCGAUGUUAACCUCUUCUGUCUGCUGAUUUCCCUCAAAUGGACCGUAUAGAGUUUCACAAGAUUAAAAGCACUUUUCCGCUCAUACAACUUUGAGAAAGCGAGACCUAUUUACAGCAUUUAAUCCCGUUUCAAAGGGGAGAUGUGAGGCAGCGGCAGGCCAGCGGAUUGAUCAUCGCCAAAUGGUUCCAGUAAAAUGCCUGAUUGCUUGGGAAGUCAAGAUGGUGGAUCCCAGGAAUUCCGUCAACUUUCUCACUGGCCUUUUGAUCUGGAGGGAAUUCUGUUGCAGGCAGCCUCUCAUAUGUCCUGCUUUUGAAACAAUACUCCUGUGUCUGAUCGCAUUGAUCUUCUUACGGUGACCUUUAACCCCUCAAGAUGCUGCGGAGAGGGAACGAAAGAAUGUGGGAUGGAGGGGGUGGGGGGAUGCUGUCUGCUCUCUCUCUCUCUCUCUCGCUCUUUCUCUCUCUCUCGCCCCUUUUUCAUGCAAUGAUUUCAUCGCAGCAAAUGGAAAUGGCUCACAUGUGUUUGCAAUUAUACCUCACAUUGUAAUCAUGAGACAGGGCCAUAAAGUGCACACACACACACACACACAAAUGUUUCACAUACACACACUCGCUCUCUCUUGAGGGUCCGUGCACAUUCUACAAAACUUUUCAUCAAACCAUAUGGUUUUGUCUUCUUGUUGUAUAUAGGGAGAAGGUUUGAAUUUAAAAGAAAACAACAAAAGAGAGCCGUGUGUUUUAAAUGAAAAUGUAAAGGAGUCCUAUCAUGCAUUUUUUUAAAAUGAAUUCUAUAUUGUUUUAAUAAUUAUUUUUUCCUCUUAAAGCUGAAGUGCACAAUUUCUGUGCCACAAGUGUCACCAAACAGACUUUAAAAAAUACACUCCUCUUGACAUUGGUCGGAAACACACAGAUACUCCCGCCCUAAACUCACGACAUUGGUUGAUGGAAAAUUUCUGUAUCGUCUGGUCGUGAUGCUAAAACAAACUUCACCUUCAAAAUGGCUUACUUUUAAAGAAAAAAGUUUAUUUUACACUGUUAAGAGCCCUCAAAGAAAUUGGCACUGGUGGAACAUCUACUAUAAAUAUAAUCUUUGUUAUUUUAUAGGUGUUGCUUGCAAAAAAACUAUUACAUAAUAAUUUACAUUUUACAUUUUAUACAUUUAUGUUGUAAUUUAGCAGAAUUGUUCAGAAAUAAACUUCAGCAUCUCAUUUCUAGCAUUGGGAUUCUUCUGACAAAUAUGCAGAGUGGCAGGUGCUACACAUCCAGAAACAAGAUUUGGUGAACU
Molecule: long non-coding RNA, 3338 nt
Organism: Myxocyprinus asiaticus (Chinese sucker)
Lineage: Eukaryota; Metazoa; Chordata; Actinopteri; Cypriniformes; Catostomidae
Exons: 3
Source: RefSeq, a predicted model, not a curated record